UCCAGAUAUUAUUUAGAAAGUUACCACCC
This 29-nucleotide non-coding RNA is filed under the name Mus musculus (house mouse). Lineage: Eukaryota; Metazoa; Chordata; Mammalia; Rodentia; Muridae. The record is from RNAcentral.